GACAGAGGAUGCAAGCGUUAUCCGGAAUGAUUGGGCGUAAAGCGUCUGUAGGUGGCUUUUCAAGUCCGCCGUCAAAUCCCAGGGCUCAACCCUAGACAGGCGGUGGAAACUACCAAGCUGGAGUAUGGUAGGGGCAGAGGGAAUUUCCGGUGGAGCGGUGAAAUGCAUUGAGAUCGGAAAGAACACCAACGGCGAAAGCAGCUCUCUGGGACGGUACUGACACUGAGACGCGAAAGCGUGGGGAGCGAACAGG
RNAcentral lists this ribosomal RNA (253 nucleotides) under uncultured bacterium. Its description in RNAcentral is "partial 16S ribosomal RNA". It matches the Rfam family "Bacterial small subunit ribosomal RNA", at positions 524 to 776 of the family's 1533-position model. The record is from RNAcentral.